Piedraia hortae CBS 480.64 is the source of this 119-nucleotide non-coding RNA. NCBI's taxonomy places the organism in Eukaryota, Fungi, Ascomycota, Dothideomycetes, Capnodiales, Piedraiaceae. The record is from the annotation of a GenBank genome assembly.
GCGAGCGUGGUGCAGUUGGUUACCACAUCUGUCUAACAGAACGUGGCUCUGGGAUUUCAACUCAGAGCAUACACCUGUCAGUGCACAGAAGAUCCCCGGUUCGAGCCCGGGCGUUCGUA